RNAcentral lists this ribosomal RNA (1450 nucleotides) under uncultured organism. RNAcentral's name for it is "SSU rRNA". It matches the Rfam family "Bacterial small subunit ribosomal RNA". The record is from RNAcentral.
GAACGCUAGCUACAGGCUUAACACAUGCAAGUCGAGGGGCAGCAUGGUCUUAGCUUGCUAAGGCCGAUGGCGACCGGCGCACGGGUGAGUAACACGUAUCCAACCUGCCGUCUACUCUUGGACAGCCUUCUGAAAGGAAGAUUAAUACAAGAUGGCAUCAUGAGUCCACAUGUUCACAUGAUUAAAGGUAUUCCGGUAGACGAUGGGGAUGCGUUCCAUUAGAUAGUAGGCGGGGUAACGGCCCACCUAGUCUUCGAUGGAUAGGGGUUCUGAGAGGAAGGUCCCCCACAUUGGAACUGAGACACGGUCCAAACUCCUACGGGAGGCAGCAGUGAGGAAUAUUGGUCAAUGGGCGAGAGCCUGAACCAGCCAAGUAGCGUGAAGGAUGACUGCCCUAUGGGUUGUAAACUUCUUUUAUAAAGGAAUAAAGUCGGGUAUGGAUACCCGUUUGCAUGUACUUUAUGAAUAAGGAUCGGCUAACUCCGUGCCAGCAGCCGCGGUAAUACGGAGGAUCCGAGCGUUAUCCGGAUUUAUUGGGUUUAAAGGGAGCGUAGAUGGAUGUUUAAGUCAGUUGUGAAAGUUUGCGGCUCAACCGUAAAAUUGCAGUUGAUACUGGAUAUCUUGAGUGCAGUUGAGGCAGGCGGAAUUCGUGGUGUAGCGGUGAAAUGCUUAGAUAUCACGAAGAACUCCGAUUGCGAAGGCAGCCUGCUAAGCUGCAACUGACAUUGAGGCUCGAAAGUGUGGGUAUCAAACAGGAUUAGAUACCCUGGUAGUCCACACGGUAAACGAUGAAUACUCGCUGUUUGCGAUAUACAGCAAGCGGCCAAGCGAAAGCGUUAAGUAUUCCACCUGGGGAGUACGCCGGCAACGGUGAAACUCAAAGGAAUUGACGGGGGCCCGCACAAGCGGAGGAACAUGUGGUUUAAUUCGAUGAUACGCGAGGAACCUUACCCGGGCUUAAAUUGCAGAUGAAUUACGGUGAAAGCCGUAAGCCGCAAGGCAUCUGUGAAGGUGCUGCAUGGUUGUCGUCAGCUCGUGCCGUGAGGUGUCGGCUUAAGUGCCAUAACGAGCGCAACCCUUGUCGUCAGUUACUAACAGGUUCCGCUGAGGACUCUGACAAGACUGCCAUCGUAAGAUGUGAGGAAGGUGGGGAUGACGUCAAAUCAGCACGGCCCUUACGUCCGGGGCUACACACGUGUUACAAUGGGGGGUACAGAGGGCCGCUACCACGCGAGUGGAUGCCAAUCCCCAAAACCUCUCUCAGUUCGGACUGGAGUCUGCAACCCGACUCCACGAAGCUGGAUUCGCUAGUAAUCGCGCAUCAGCCACGGCGCGGUGAAUACGUUCCCGGGCCUUGUACACACCGCCCGUCAAGCCAUGGGAGCCGGGGGUACCUGAAGUGCGUAACCGCGAGGAGCGCCCUAGGGUAAAACUGGUGACUGGGGCUAAG